Molecule: ribosomal RNA, 460 nt
Filed under: uncultured bacterium
Lineage: Bacteria
Description: partial 16S ribosomal RNA
Rfam family: Bacterial small subunit ribosomal RNA
Source: RNAcentral
CCUACGGGUGGCAGCAGUGAGGAAUAUUGGUCAAUGGACGAGAGUCUGAACCAGCCAAGUAGCGUGAAGGAUGACUGCCCUAUGGGUUGUAAACUUCUUUUAUAUGGGAAUAAAAUGUUCCACGUGUGGGAUUUUGUAUGUACCAUAUGAAUAAGGAUCGGCUAACUCCGUGCCAGCAGCCGCGGUAAUACGGAGGAUCCGAGCGUUAUCCGGAUUUAUUGGGUGUAAAGGGAGCGUAGGUGGAUUGUUAAGUCAGUUGUGAAAGUUUGCGGCUCAACCGUAAAAUUGCAGUUGAAACUGGCAGUCUUGAGUACAGUAGAGGUGAGCGGAAUUCGUGGUGUAGCGGUGAAAUGCUUAGAUAUCACGAAGAACUCCGAUUGCGAAGGCAGUUCACUGGACUGCAACUGACACUGAGGCUCGAAAGUGUGGGUAUCAAACAGGAUUAGAUACCCGGGUAGUC